GAUCCUGGCUCAGGACGAACGCUGGCGGCGUGCCUAAUACAUGCAAGUCGAGCGAGCGAAACUAACAGAUUUACUUCGGUAAUGACGUUAGGAAAGCGAGCGGCGGAUGGGUGAGUAACACGUGGGGAACCUGCCCCAUAGUCUGGGAUACCACUUGGAAACAGGUGCUAAUACCGGAUAAGAAAGCAGAUCGCAUGAUCAGCUUUUAAAAGGCGGCGUAAGCUGUCGCUAUGGGAUGGCCCCG
This 244-nucleotide ribosomal RNA is filed under the name uncultured bacterium. Its description in RNAcentral is "partial 16S ribosomal RNA". It matches the Rfam family "Bacterial small subunit ribosomal RNA", at positions 15 to 233 of the family's 1533-position model. The record is from RNAcentral.